Molecule: ribosomal RNA, 253 nt
Filed under: uncultured bacterium
Lineage: Bacteria
Description: partial 16S ribosomal RNA
Rfam family: Bacterial small subunit ribosomal RNA
Source: RNAcentral
UACGGAGGGUGCAAGCGUUGUUCGGAUUUAUUGGGCGUAAAGCGCGUGUAGGCGGUUUCUUAAGUCUGAUGUGAAAGCCCCGGGCUCAACCCGGGAAGUGCAUUGGAUACUGGGAGACUUGAAUACGGGAGAGGGUAGUGGAAUUCCUAGUGUAGGAGUGAAAUCCGUAGAUAUUAGGAGGAACACCGGUGGCGAAGGCGGCCUUCUGGACAGUGACUGACGCUGAGACGCGAAAGCGUGGGGAGCAAACAGG